Molecule: long non-coding RNA, 306 nt
Filed under: Malus domestica (apple)
Lineage: Eukaryota; Viridiplantae; Streptophyta; Magnoliopsida; Rosales; Rosaceae
Description: long non-coding RNA (MDOM_LNC002274)
Source: RNAcentral
CGAAUCUCGAGAGCCAGACUCCCAACAUGACUACUUUCUUAAAAAUCGAAGAGAGGGUAAAGGAACAGUACCAUUGCUGGAUAAUUGGAAAGUCUCUGUGUGUCAACCUUUGUGCUUCGUGGCAAGGUAGACUAGCAAACAUGCCCAACCUUUACUCACAUUCGAGAAAACACUCCCAACAAGAUUGCUUGCUCCAAAAUCGAAGAGGCACCGCCCUUCGAAUCUCGAGAGCCAGACUCCCAACGUGAUUACUUUCUCAAAAAUCGAAGAGACACUGCUCCCCGAAUCUUCGAGUGCCAGACCCCC